Pezoporus occidentalis (night parrot) is the source of this 2766-nucleotide long non-coding RNA. RefSeq lists it as uncharacterized. The transcript has 2 exons. The record is from RefSeq and is a predicted model, not a curated record. NCBI's taxonomy places the organism in Eukaryota, Metazoa, Chordata, Aves, Psittaciformes, Psittacidae.
CUGAAAGGCAAGAGCAGCUUUCCUCCAGCUCAGAGCUGCUUUGGCCCCUCUGAAGUUCAGGCGUUCCUGUGAUCCUUGCUUUGGAGCAGCAGCAGGAGGAGGAUUAAAACUGCUUCUGUAUCAAAGCCAAGUAAUCCAAACCCAUCGCCUGCGACGCCUUCUUUCCAGAGCUAUGGAAAAAAAACGAGGCCUUGCAGGGGUUUGUGCUUUCUUGGAUCUUCCACCCCCUUGUAUUUAACCUCUGCUGCUUCAAGCACAAAGUAGGCCAGCUUUGCAGCUUGCCUGUUAAGCUGUUACACCCCCACAGAUAAGCAGCUGCCAGCCCCUGAGAGCAGAGCACCAGCCCCAGGAUAAACCAGCUCCCACUGAGAACAAAUACGGAGCUGCCUUGAUCCCGGAGCCAGACAAUGGGAGAGCUUUGCUCCUGUCCAUUCACCUUCGCCCUUAGGUUCUGCUCUGACUGGGAUGCCCAGAGGGACCCCAAAAAGACCCAGGACACCCGGAAAGUGAUAACUGCUCCCAUGGCACCCCCUCCAUCAGCAGAUGGCACCCCACGCUGCUCAGCCCUUAUCUGCAGGCAUUCUGCCAGUACCAGCAAGAACUGACUGAGAGCCCAGUCCUACCUUGCAGCAGGCUUAGCUGAACACAGCUGGAGAUUAGUGCCUGGCAAUCCUUGCAAGCACUCCCUGUUAUGUCUACCAGAGGAAAGCAAGCACAAAGGAAACCUCCUCACGGUCACGAGACAAGGAGCAGCUACUGUGUGCAAGUGGAAGAAUUCAGCAAAGUCCUCAUGGAGCAGAUGGAGAACAAAAAGCACCAGGAGUCAGGUUUUGGACUGAACAAACCGUGAGAAGAGAGACAAACAUGUACCUUUUAUUGUUUAUGUACAAAUGACAUCGGUUUGUAUUAAAAAGAGAAUCCACCCGAUCUCAAAGAGACAGCUUCAAGCUCCAGCCUUCCCUGCAUCUAAAAGCACUGUGUAGAUUUUAGGAGAUGGUGUUUAAAAUGAAAGAGAAAAUGGUUAACCACCUUCUUCUCUGCCUGACAAAGAACCAAAAGGAGCUGUUCCUGCCACUCUACAUCGAUUAAACCAAAGAAACCAAAAGUCCAUUUGUUAACUAUACACGUGGCUGUAAAAAAAAUACCCCCACAACAGAACCAACAAAACCAAAACUACAAAGCUAAGUAUCAGCAACAAAAGUAAUCUAAGUCUUAGCAACAUGGAUGGGCCACACUGAAUCACAGCCCACUUCCAGUGGAAAAAGAAAUACCUCUCCGUGGGUUUGCAGAUGACAGGGGUGGCAGCAGCAACAACAUCAGCCCGUUCUAGGAAGUUCCCAACUGAGGUGGAAGCACAGAAUGGCCAGGAAUUCAGGACUACCACUGCUACUACACCUUAGUCUUCCUGCAACUCAGGUGAUGUAUAAAUGAUGCAAAGUACAUGGUCCAAGAUUUCCUCCCCCCAUCUAAGUUCUUUAGAGUGAGCCACUCCCAUCUGCAGACACUUGGCCAGGGAGCUGCCAUCAUGCUCAUUCAGUCGACUGGCAUUUUCUCAGUGGGGAUUCACGCAGACCUAAAUCCCAGAAGCAUCAGCACUGAUGAGUCUAGUAGUCCUGCAGAGAAAGGAAAGGGUGGGCACAUUAACACCUUUCUACCUUCAGUUCUGCUCGCAGAGCUGGGAUUCUCAGUCUUCUCUCAUUUCUACACACCAUUAGUUGCAGGCAAAACAUGUAGCUAAACAUUCAAAAGAAAGGACCCUUCAAAACCUUAGUUCAAGAACACAGCAGCUCAAACCAGAUGCUUCUAAUGUUCCAGAUCAUGACAAGGCAACAGGACGCAAAACAGUUUUCUGCAUGAGAAGUGCACAGGAUUAACUGGGACCUGGCUUCAUAACAAGCCUACCUGGGCUUAUUUACUGUUACAUCCACAAGACAAUGCUUAGCUCAUACCGUGAUUCUCCUCAACCAUGAAAAUAAGGUCUUAAAUUACAGCAGAGGGAGGCUUUUUAAGAUUAGGAGUCAGUCAACCACUCAAGUCUACAGAUGAGCAAUGAAAACAAUGACAGAGCACUGAUACUUACGGCUCUUGGCUUUUUGUUUAACUUGAGAUCAAUCCUGUGGUUGGAAAGAUAAGAGAAAUGUCCAUUUCAAUACAUUAAACCAACACUAGCGUUCAAAGAACCAGCUACUGCAUAUGGCACAGGCUACAACAAAGACUAUUUGGUUAAUUCAAUCCACAUUCUCAAUUGGGCUGAGCCAAAUCACUGUCCCAGUAUUACUGGACAAGAGAACAGCAAAGAGACAGAGAGUGGAUUCUUUCUUAUUUGCCAAAAUGCAUAUUGUGUCCACUCAAAACAGGAGUUAAUACAAGGUUCAUAACCAAAAUCACAGGGAAGUUAUGCAGCAUAAAGAAAUGAGGUUAAACACGCAUGCUCUAUGUUAAUUUGUUAGAUGUGUAACUAUGCCACAGGUAAUUAUUCAGACAUAGUGGUAAUGGUUAUUUACUUGGGAUACAGAUAGGAGUUUAGGAUGAGCAGGGAUUAUAUGAGUCAAAGGGAUGGAGUUUGAUUACAUUUUUCCAGAAGGAAAUAUCCAAUCUACACUCAUCUCCUUCAGAAGCAAAGCCGGAAGAAUCAGGUUUUAAACUACGGGUUUAAGUUAAAAAGUUUGCUCUAUUUUAAGUAAAAAAAAAUGAAAUAGAAAAGUAAAGGAGAGUGAAGUUAAUUGAAUUUUGCUGAAGUUAUUAAAUAAAAUGUUACCUCCAUCA